This 493-nucleotide ribosomal RNA is filed under the name uncultured bacterium. RNAcentral's name for it is "partial 16S ribosomal RNA". It matches the Rfam family "Bacterial small subunit ribosomal RNA", at positions 29 to 523 of the family's 1533-position model. The record is from RNAcentral.
AUUGAACGCUGGCGGCAUGCUUUACACAUGCAAGUCGAACGGUAACAGGUUAAGCUGACGAGUGGCGAACGGGUGAGUAAUGCACCGGAACGUGCCCGGUCGGGGGGGAUAACGCAGCGAAAGCUGCGCUAAUACCGCAUACGAUCUAAGGAUGAAAGCGGGGGACCGGAAGGCCUCGCGCGAUCGGAGCGGCCGAUGUCAGAUUAGGUAGUUGGUGGGGUAAAGGCUCACCAAGCCAACGAUCUGUAGCUGUUCUGAGAGGACGACCAGCCACACUGGGACUGAGACACGGCCCAGACUCCUACGGGAGGCAGCAGUGGGGAAUUUUGGACAAUGGGCGAAAGCCUGAUCCAGCAAUGCCGCGUGCAGGAAGAAGGCCUUCGGGUUGUAAACUGCUUUUGUACGGAGCGAAAAGGUCUCCUCUAAUACAGGGGGCUCAUGACGGUACCGCAAGAAUAAGCACCGGCUAACUACGUGCCAGCCGCCGCGGUAA